AGCGAACGUUUGCGGCGGGCCUAACACAUGCAAGUCGAACGCACUAGCAAUAGUGAGUGGCGCACGGGUGCGUAACACGUGGGUAAUCAACCCUUCAGCUUGGGAUAACGACUUGAAAGGGUCGCUAAUACCGGAUACGGCGCGGGAGGCUUCGGCUUCUCACGAGAAAGCCUCGCAAGGGGCACUGAAGGACGAGCCUGCGGCCCAUCAGCUAGUUGGUGAGGUAAGAGCUCACCAAGGCGAAGACGGGUAGCUGGUCUGAGAGGAUGAUCAGCCACACUGGAACUGAGACACGGUCCAGACUCCUACGGGAGGCAGCAGUGGGGAAUAUUGCGCAAUGGGCGAAAGCCUGACGCAGCCACGCCGCGUGAGCGAUGAAGGCCUUCGGGUCGUAAAGCUCUGUGGGAGGGACGAAGGGGGAAACGUCUGACGGUACCUCGCAAGAAGCACCGGCUAACUCUAGUGCCAGCAGCCGCGGUAAU
Molecule: ribosomal RNA, 482 nt
Filed under: uncultured bacterium
Lineage: Bacteria
Description: bacterial SSU rRNA
Rfam family: Bacterial small subunit ribosomal RNA
Source: RNAcentral